This 804-nucleotide ribosomal RNA is filed under the name uncultured bacterium. RNAcentral describes it as "bacterial SSU rRNA". It matches the Rfam family "Bacterial small subunit ribosomal RNA", at positions 95 to 899 of the family's 1533-position model. The record is from RNAcentral.
CCGGCGCACGGGUGCGUAACACGUAUGCAACCUACCUUUAACUGGGGCAUAGCCCCGAGAAAUCGGGAUUAAUACCCCAUAACAUUGCGAAAAGGCAUCUUUUUGCAAUUAAAGUUCCAACGGUUAAAGAUGGGCAUGCGCGACAUUAGCUAGUUGGCGAGGUAACGGCUCACCAAGGCUACGAUGUCUAGGGGUUCUGAGAGGAUUUUCCCCCACACUGGUACUGAGACACGGACCAGACUCCUACGGGAGGCAGCAGUAAGGAAUAUUGGGCAAUGGGCGCAAGCCUGACCCAGCCAUGCCGCGUGCAGGAUUGACGGCCCUAUGGGUUGUAAACUGCUUUUGUAUGGAAAAAAACCCCCGGUCGCGCACGGGGUUGAUGUUACCAUAAGAAUAAGCAUCGGCUAACUCCGUGCCAGCAGCCGCGGUAAUACGGAGGAUGCAAGCGUUAUCCGGAUUCAUUGGGUUUAAAGGGUGCGCAGGCGGAACGGUAAGUCAGUGGUGAAAGCCUACAGCUCAACUGUAGAAUUGCCAUUGAUACUGUCGUUCUUGAGUAUAGUUGGAGUGUGCGGAAUGUAUCAUGUAGCGGUGAAAUGCUUAGAUAUGAUACAGAACACCAAUCGCGAAGGCAGCUCACUAAGCUAUAACUGACGCUCAUGCACGAAAGCGUGGGGAGCAAACAGGAUUAGAGACCCUGGUAGUCCACGCCCUAAACGAUGAUCACUCGAUGUUGGCGAUAUACAGUCAGCGUCUGAGCGAAAGCAUUAAGUGAUCCACCUGGGGAGUACGAUCGCAAGGUUGAAA